Molecule: ribosomal RNA, 468 nt
Filed under: uncultured bacterium
Lineage: Bacteria
Description: partial 16S ribosomal RNA
Rfam family: Bacterial small subunit ribosomal RNA
Source: RNAcentral
GACGAACGCUGGCGGCGUGCCUAACACAUGCAAGUCGAACGGAAAGGCCCUGCUUUUGUGGGGUGCUCGAGUGGCGAACGGGUGAGUAACACGUGAGUAACCUGCCCUUGACUUUGGGAUAACUUCAGGGAACUGGGGCUAAUACCGGAUAGGAGCUCCUGCUGCAUGGUGGGGGUUGGAAAGUUUCGGCGGUUGGGGAUGGACUCGCGGCUUAUCAGCUUGUUGGUGGGGUAGUGGCUUACCAAGGCUUUGACGGGUAGCCGGCCUGAGAGGGUGACCGGCCACAUUGGGACUGAGAUACGGCCCAGACUCCUACGGGAGGCAGCAGUGGGGAAUAUUGCACAAUGGGCGGAAGCCUGAUGCAGCAACGCCGCGUGCGGGAUGACGGCCUUCGGGUUGUAAACCGCUUUCGCCUGUGACGAAGCGUGAGUGACGGUAAUGGGUAAAGAAGCACCGGCUAACUACGUG